Molecule: long non-coding RNA, 1903 nt
Organism: Cryptomeria japonica (Japanese cedar)
Lineage: Eukaryota; Viridiplantae; Streptophyta; Pinopsida; Cupressales; Cupressaceae
Exons: 2
Source: RefSeq, a predicted model, not a curated record
CGCCAAUAAUAGGAUUGGACGGGAUAAGGGCGGCCUAAUCAACGGCAAUGGUUGUCGUUCUUCAUUUAGAAAUUUAAUGUUCAAUUGUGGAAUUGUGCAAUUUUGUUCAGAUGAUGAAGAUGGAGGAACAAGUAAUGAAGUUAAAGGCGCCUAUUAGAGUAGACGACAUCCUCACAGUUUAUACCGGUUGUGUUAUUUUUCAAUCGGUAGCCGUUCAUCGUUUGGAAUGAUAGCAAAUCCUCAUGGUAGAUCUGCUCUACCUAUUGUAAUAAAAGAAAUGUUGAGAAGAAUGUGUUUUGGCUCCUAAUUUUUCUCCAAAUGAUUCAGAUAAAUUUCCAAUGGUGAAGAGAGUGUUGCAACCCACCAUUUCAUUAAACUGAUUGAAGCUAUUUAUAAUUAUACCCCAUUUGAUUCAAAUUGUUAUAUAUCUAUCAGUAGUCAUAUCACCAGUAAGGGAGGAUAUUUGAGGUGGUGGAUCCCUUGCUGUCGUGGGGGCUGCCAUUGGAAGUAUAGAUUUAUCAUGUUAAUUUGAUUAACCGCAGGUUCAAAACACUCUGCACCAUUGCGAAUUUGUCUGGAUCAUCUGGAGGAAAAUUUGGGAUGCACAACACUUUCUUUGUGCAUUUCUUGCAUUGCAGUAGGCCGGGCGGAUGCUAUGUUUUACUUUUCCAACCAAAAGACUCACAACGCGUGAAACAGUUGAAAGAACCCUGCAUUCUGGUUUCAGCUGUCGAAAUCACAGCGGUUGAGAGGAGAAAGGUAAUGAAAAACCAUGAGGUAAAGUAAAACAAAUUGCCAGGGAAUCCUUGCGUAGGAGCUUGCCUCAAAGUAAAAAAGUUCAGGUGCUUAUGGAUUUUUCUGCUGCUAUUUUAGUGGUUUAAAUGUCAGUAAUUUUUCUUCUGGGCUUUAUGGUAUGAAAUAUUCUUUGAAUGAGCUAAUAUAGCGGACUGAUAGAGUCGAGUAUAGACUGAUGUCGGGUAUAAACUUAUAGAGUGCUCGGGGUGGGUGGGAGGCUAUAGUUGCCACCUCGACAGCAACUUAAGUAGUAGGUUUACUCGCUUCUUCAUGAGCGGGUGCUCCAGCCGUCCUAUCUAUUCCGGCGAGGGGAUCAACAGGCGAUCCAACCUCCCGGUUCUUUAAAUCCUGUAGAAUGAUGGUUGACUCGCUCUUCUUCCCAGGGGACCUUUUAUAGUAUUCCUUUAGAGAGGGUGCCGACUCGCUUGCUGAUUCGAACAACGCAGCGAAACCAGGGGCUGCAGACCGGAGUACCCGCCUGAAUACUGACAGAAUGCAGAGCUAAUAUACCAAGAAGAUUUCUGUAAGCCAUUCAAGAAAUGAUUCAAGCAAAUCUGUAUAUGGGUGUACAGAUGGGGUUAAGAGAAAUAUGGGAUUAUCUCAUAUUUCUUGCAGACGUAUCUACACUACAAAUGAAAUUUAUAUAAUUUAUCUCCUCCUGAAAUUUGAAUUUAAUUUAUCUGCUUAUAAGAUUUGAACUUGGACCAAAUCUCCACAAAUUUUCCACCAUUACAUGCAACUCAGACCAUACAGAGCAUGCAGAUAAGAUUGUCAGGCUAUGUUCUUUAUUGCCUCACUUAUGACCAUGUUGGAAACCGACCUAUUCACCGACCUAUUCACCAACCUAUUCACCGCCAGUGGAAGACCGCCUUAUCUCCACCGCUUGAAGUUUGAUCUUAUCUUAUUUGGUUUCCUGACAACCUCUACAUCAAAUCAGAUUUAUCUGAUGCUCAGCUUGAUGUAUCUUGCAGUGCACUCCAAGAUUUAACCCUCACACUACAACUAUAAAGAAGUGUAUUGGAGCUAUUAGGAGAACUCUGCAGAAUCCCUAAAUCAAUGUAUUUCUAUUUUGAUCAAUACAUAUAAUUCUGCAGUAGUAGAUUUGGUA